This 253-nucleotide ribosomal RNA is filed under the name uncultured bacterium. Its description in RNAcentral is "partial 16S ribosomal RNA". It matches the Rfam family "Bacterial small subunit ribosomal RNA", at positions 524 to 776 of the family's 1533-position model. The record is from RNAcentral.
UACGUAGGGUGCGAGCGUUGUCCGGAAUUAUUGGGCGUACAGGGCUCGUAGGCGGUUUGUCGCGUCGGGAGUGAAAACCUCGGGCUUAACUCGGGGCUUGCUUUCGAUACGGGCAGACUGGAGGUAUGCAGGGGAGAACGGAAUUCCUGGUGUAGCGGUGAAAUGCGCAGAUAUCAGUAGGAACCCCGGUGGCGAAGGCGGUUCUCUGGGCAUGACCUGACGCUGAGGAGCGAAAGUGUGGGGAGCGAACAGG